This 429-nucleotide ribosomal RNA is filed under the name Pseudomonadota bacterium. RNAcentral describes it as "Proteobacteria bacterium partial 16S ribosomal RNA". It matches the Rfam family "Bacterial small subunit ribosomal RNA", at positions 355 to 776 of the family's 1533-position model. The record is from RNAcentral. Lineage: Bacteria; Pseudomonadati; Pseudomonadota.
UGGGGAAUAUUGGACAAUGGGCGAAAGCCUGAUCCAGCCAUGCCGCGUGUGUGAAGAAGGUCUUCGGAUUGUAAAGCACUUUAAGUUGGGAGGAAGGGCAGUAAGCGAAUACCUUGCUGUUUUGACGUUACCGACAGAAUAAGCACCGGCUAACUCUGUGCCAGCAGCCGCGGUAAUACAGAGGGUGCAAGCGUUAAUCGGAAUUACUGGGCGUAAAGCGCGCGUAGGUGGUUCGUUAAGUUGAAUGUGAAAGCACCGGGCUCAACCUGGGAACGGCAUCCAAAACUGGCGAGCUAGAGUAGGGCAGAGGGUGGUGGAAUUUCCUGUGUAGCGGUGAAAUGCGUAGAUAUAGGAAGGAACACCAGUGGCGAAGGCGACCACCUGGGCUCAUACUGACACUGAGGUGCGAAAGCGUGGGGAGCAAACAGG